Molecule: ribosomal RNA, 468 nt
Filed under: uncultured bacterium
Lineage: Bacteria
Description: partial 16S ribosomal RNA
Rfam family: Bacterial small subunit ribosomal RNA
Source: RNAcentral
GACGAACGCUGGCGGCGCGCCUAACACAUGCAAGUAGAACGGAGUCAAGAGGAGCUUGCUUUUCUUGACUUAGUGGCGAACGGGUGAGUAACGCGUGAGUAACCUGCCCUGGAGUGGGGGACAACAGUUGGAAACGACUGCUAAUACCGCAUAAGCCCACGGAUCUGCAUGGAUCUGCGGGAAAAGGAUUUAUUCGCUCUAGGAUGGACUCGCGUCCAAUUAGCUAGUUGGUGAGGUAACGGCCCACCAAGGCGACGAUUGGUAGCCGGACUGAGAGGUUGAACGGCCACAUUGGGACUGAGACACGGCCCAGACUCCUACGGGAGGCAGCAGUGGGGGAUAUUGCACAAUGGGGGAAACCCUGAUGCAGCGACGCCGCGUGGAGGAAGAAGGUUUUCGGAUUGUAAACUCCUGUCGUUAGGGACGAUAAUGACGGUACCUAACAAGAAAGCACCGGCUAACUACGUG